This 412-nucleotide ribosomal RNA is filed under the name uncultured beta proteobacterium. RNAcentral describes it as "bacterial SSU rRNA". It matches the Rfam family "Bacterial small subunit ribosomal RNA", at positions 9 to 423 of the family's 1533-position model. The record is from RNAcentral. Lineage: Bacteria; Pseudomonadati; Pseudomonadota; Betaproteobacteria.
GAGUUUGAUCGUGGCUCAGAUUGAACGCUGGCGGCAUGCCUUACACAUGCAAGUCGAGCGGCAGCGCGGGGGCAACCCUGGCGGCGAGCGGCGAACGGGUGAGUAAUACAUCGGAACGUGUCCUGUCGUGGGGGAUAACCAGUCGAAAGAUUGGCUAAUACCGCAUGACCUCGUAAGAGAAAAGCGGGGGACCGUAAGGCCUCGCGCGACUGGAGCGGCCGAUGUCGGAUUAGCUAGUUGGCGGGGUAAAAGCCCACCAAGGCGACGAUCCGUAGCUGGUUUGAGAGAACGACCAGCCACACUGGGACUGAGACACGGCCCAGACUCCUACGGGAGGCAGCAGUGGGGAAUUUUGGACAAUGGGGGCAACCCUGAUCCAGCCAUGCCGCGUGUGUGAAGAAGGCCUUCGGUU